This is a non-coding RNA of Lentinula aff. detonsa, 83 nucleotides long. The record is from the annotation of a GenBank genome assembly. NCBI's taxonomy places the organism in Eukaryota, Fungi, Basidiomycota, Agaricomycetes, Agaricales, Omphalotaceae.
GGGCACAUGGUGUAGUUGGUUAUCACAUCCGCUUAGCAUUAUCAGCUUGCGGGGGGUGCUGGGUUCAAUUCCCAGUGUGUCCA